RNAcentral lists this ribosomal RNA (840 nucleotides) under uncultured bacterium. RNAcentral describes it as "bacterial SSU rRNA". It matches the Rfam family "Bacterial small subunit ribosomal RNA", at positions 8 to 865 of the family's 1533-position model. The record is from RNAcentral.
AGAGUUGAUUCCUGGGUUCGGAUGAACGGCUGGCGGCCGGCCUUAAUCCAAUCAAGGUUGAACGGGAAACUGGGAGAAAGGCUUGCUUUUUUUGCAGACGAGGUGGCGGACGGGGGAGUUAGUAUUUGGGAAGCUACUUGAUAGAGGGGGGACAACAGUUGGAAACGACUGCUAAUACCGCAUAUAGCCUGAGGGUGAAAGCAGCAAUGCGCUAUCAGAUGCGCCCAAACGGGAUUAGCUAGUAGGUGAGGUAAAGGCUCACCUAGGCGACGAUCUCUAGCUGGUCUGAGAGGAUGAUCAGCCACAUUGGGACUGAGACACGGCCCAGACUCCUACGGGAGGCAGCAGUAGGGAAUAUUGCACAAUGGGGGAAACCCUGAUGCAGCCAUGCCGCGUGUGUGAAGAAGGCCUUCGGGUUGUAAAGCACUUUCGGAGGGGAGGAACAAAUGACGUUACCCUCAGAAGAAGCACCGGCUAACUCCGUGCCAGCAGCCGCGGUAAUACGGAGGGUGCAAGCGUUAAUCGGAAUAACUGGGCGUAAAGGGCAUGCAGGCGGUCGGACAAGUAGGAUGUGAAAUCCUGGGGCUCAACCUCAGAACUGCAUUCUAAACUGUUCGACUAGAGUAUUGCAGGGGGAGACGGAAUUUCAGGUGUAGCGGUGGAAUGCGUAGAUAUCUGAAAGAACACCAAAGGCGAAGGCAGUCUCCUGGGCAAAUACUGACGCUCAUAUGCGAAAGCGUGGGUAGCAAACAGGAUUAGAUACCCUGGUAGUCCACGCCGUAAACGAUGUCAAUUAGGAGCUUGGACUUAAGUCUGGGUUUCGUAGCUAACGCAAUAAAU